RNAcentral lists this microRNA (21 nucleotides) under Oryza sativa (Asian cultivated rice). RNAcentral's name for it is "osa-miR395a". Its record names the gene osa-miR395a. The record is from miRBase by way of RNAcentral. Lineage: Eukaryota; Viridiplantae; Streptophyta; Magnoliopsida; Poales; Poaceae. RNAcentral also lists the same sequence under 1 other name.
GUGAAGUGCUUGGGGGAACUC